RNAcentral lists this long non-coding RNA (1376 nucleotides) under Equus caballus (horse). Its description in RNAcentral is "lncRNA (ENSECAG00000056871.1)". The record is from RNAcentral. Lineage: Eukaryota; Metazoa; Chordata; Mammalia; Perissodactyla; Equidae.
UGGACCAAGAGGGUGGCGUUGUGGGGCUUCAUCACCAUGUCGCACAACUUGAGGAAGGGUACCACGUUGAAUGCGUUCAUGAUCCAUCCAGAGUUCUCUGCAUGAGGCCUGAAGGCAAUGAACUAAGGCCAAGCAAAUUACACUGAACAGAACAAGGGCAAGAUAUGAACAGACGUUUGAUGGGGAUAUUUUGUUUCCAAAUAUUCCUCGUUUUAUGUUAUAGAUCCCCACAAAAUGGUUGCAUUCUCUCAACUCAGCCUUGUAUUUGAUCACUCACUGGAACGAAUCCGUUAUUACAGCUUCGUGCAUCUCUCUUCCCUGUGUGCCUCCUGCUAGGUUUACCUUCUUGUCUUUGCUCAGAGAUAAUCCAGACCAUCACUCUUUAUUUAAAAUCUUGGAGAUUAUCUUACCAAAUGACAAGAGAAAGAGAGAAAUGGCCCAAAGAAAAACACGCAAAACAAUAAGGAUUAGCAUAUUUCGCUUUGACUGAUGGAUUCAUGGCUUUCAAUUUCUCUGAAAAGCAACUGUAACAUUCCGAUGAGCUGAUCGAGGAAGGUUGUCGUUUCAGUGAUCCUCUGGAGACUGUCACAGGCAGCAGAAUCAAAAACAGGUUUACAAUUAAUGAAGCAGAAGAGUAUUGUGAAGAAGAAUCUGAUGAGUUCCUUCAACAGCUGUCAUGGGCAAAGAUUUCAUAUCAAAUUGAUUAGCCUGGCCCUCAUUCAGCUAGCUGAGGAUUAUUAAUUGAGAUUGGGAGAGAGUAUUUGAAAUACUCCUGUCUGUAAACUCCAUAGGAAUGGUGUUACCCUACAUGUUCCAUUCUUUUAAGCUAGUCCUUACAGAGUGGAAGCCACCUUAAUGUCACAUGUAGUACUUUACACAGUUCCCCAGUUCAUUAGAAAACUAUGAUGAUGAUAUCAUUUAAGGUUUUUAUAUUUACAGACUUUAUAUUCUUCUAGGCAAUUUUUCUACCAUUUGGCUAUUUGUUCAGAGAAAAAUGUUUGAAAGAGAAAAUUAACAUGCUCUUUCAAUCACUAACUCAAAAAGUUCUUGAAACAAAUUGGUCCAAUGAUAAUAUUGGUAUUUAAUUUCCUUGAUCAAAUGCAAAGGAAUAUUUAAUGAAUAUAAACUAAAAAAUCUUCCAGGAUUAAAGUAUCAUGUAUUAAUUUAUUUAAUGAAAAUUUGUUGAACAUUUCCCAAGCAUUUGGAGAAAAUAGUGAAUACGAUAGACUUGGUCAUUCAUUUUAUCAUGCUUAGAGUCUAGUGGGUGCUAUACAAAGAAUAGACUUUUUUUUUUUUAAAAAAAACACAAUUGAAAAAACUAUUGCAGACUUCCAGUUCUAGUUCAGCAUGAAGGGAGGUUGGAAAUCGUCACUCCU